RNAcentral lists this ribosomal RNA (490 nucleotides) under uncultured bacterium. Its description in RNAcentral is "partial 16S ribosomal RNA". It matches the Rfam family "Bacterial small subunit ribosomal RNA", at positions 30 to 507 of the family's 1533-position model. The record is from RNAcentral.
AUUGAACGCUGGCGGCAUGCCUUACACAUGCAAGUCGAACGGCAGCAUGAUCUAGCUUGCUAGAUUGAUGGCGAGUGGCGAACGGGUGAGUAAUACAUCGGAACGUGCCCUGUAGUGGGGGAUAACUAGUCGAAAGAUUAGCUAAUACCGCAUACGACCUGAGGGUGAAAGUGGGGGACCGCAAGGCCUCAUGCUAUAGGAGCGGCCGAUGUCUGAUUAGCUAGUUGGUGAGGUAAAGGCUCACCAAGGCGACGAUCAGUAGCUGGUCUGAGAGGACGAUCAGCCACACUGGGACUGAGACACGGCCCAGACUCCUACGGGAGGCAGCAGUGGGGAAUUUUGGACAAUGGGCGAAAGCCUGAUCCAGCAAUGCCGCGUGUGUGAAGAAGGCCUUCGGGUUGUAAAGCACUUUUGUCCGGAAAGAAAUGGCUCUGGUUAACACCUGGGGUCGAUGACGGUACCGGAAGAAUAAGGACCGUCUAACUACGUG